GAUGAACGCUGGCGGCGUGCCUAAUACAUGCAAGUCGAACGCAUAGCGAAAGGUGCUUGCACCUUUCAAGUGAGUGGCGAACGGGUGAGUAACACGUGGACAACCUGCCUCAAGGCUGGGGAUAACAUUUGGAAACAGAUGCUAAUACCGAAUAAAACUUAGUGUCGCAUGACACAAAGUUAAAAGCCGCUUCGGCGUCACCUAGAGAUGGAUCCGCGGUGCAUUAGUUAGUUGGUGGGGUAAAGGCCUACCAAGACAAUGAUGCAUAGCCGAGUUGAGAGACUGAUCGGCCACAUUGGGACUGAGACACGGCCCAAACUCCUACGGGAGGCUGCAGUAGGGAAUCUUCCACAAUGGGCGAAAGCCUGAUGGAGCAACGCCGCGUGUGUGAUGAAGGCUUUCGGGUCGUAAAGCACUGUUGUAUGGGAAGAACAGCUAGAAUAGGAAAUGAUUUUAGUUUGACGGUACCAUACCAGAAAGGGACGGCUAAAUACGUG
RNAcentral lists this ribosomal RNA (497 nucleotides) under uncultured bacterium. RNAcentral describes it as "partial 16S ribosomal RNA". It matches the Rfam family "Bacterial small subunit ribosomal RNA", at positions 28 to 507 of the family's 1533-position model. The record is from RNAcentral.